RNAcentral lists this transfer RNA (75 nucleotides) under Wolbachia endosymbiont of Diaphorina citri. RNAcentral's name for it is "tRNA-Arg". It matches the Rfam family "tRNA". Rfam says of the family: Transfer RNA (tRNA) molecules are approximately 80 nucleotides in length. Their secondary structure includes four short double-helical elements and three loops (D, anti-codon, and T loops). Lineage: Bacteria; Pseudomonadati; Pseudomonadota; Alphaproteobacteria; Rickettsiales; Anaplasmataceae. The record is from RNAcentral.
GUGCCCGUUAGCUCAGUUGGAUAGAGCAACAGCCUUCUAAGCUGUGGGUCGUAGGUUCGAAUCCUACCGGGCACA